Molecule: ribosomal RNA, 253 nt
Filed under: uncultured bacterium
Lineage: Bacteria
Description: partial 16S ribosomal RNA
Rfam family: Bacterial small subunit ribosomal RNA
Source: RNAcentral
GACGAGCCACACAAACGUUAUUCGGAAUUACUGGGCUUAAAGGGUGCGUAGGCUGCGCGACAAGUUGGGUGUGAAAUACCUCGGCUCAACCGAGGAACUGCGCCCAAAACUAUCGUGCUCGAGGAAGAUAGAGGUGAGCGGAACUUACGGUGGAGCGGUGAAAUGCGUUGAUAUCGUAAGGAACACCCGUGGCGAAAGCGGCUCACUGGGUCUUAUCUGACGCUGAUGCACGAAAGCUAGGGGAGCAAACGGG